Molecule: long non-coding RNA, 3728 nt
Filed under: Homo sapiens (human)
Lineage: Eukaryota; Metazoa; Chordata; Mammalia; Primates; Hominidae
Description: HSALNT0348615
Source: RNAcentral
AAGAAAAUGUUUUCCUUAAAUAAUACUUGUAAGAUAUUUACUGGAAGAAAAAAGACAAAUUUAGGUGUUCAUUCAUUUGUUCAGUAAUUCAGCUUUAGCCUAGCACCCAUUUCCCAGGGUAGGUUUGGGAUAUUAAUAGGAUUUAAUUAGAAUUAGUUUUUCACUUUUUUCGAACACUAUUUUUAAGAAAUCACUUGGUCCUUUAUGAAUUCUCUAGAUAUUUUUCUGCCUCAUUUACUAAAAUAAAUAAAAUAGUUAAAUAGUUAUUCGGGUUUUUCCAAUCAAGAUGCUGCUUCUUACGUAUCCUUUCUUUUUAUUUUCUUUUCUCUAAUAUCUUUUGGAGGACUGUGAUAUGAAAGAAAGAUCAUCGGACUACAAGGUAUGUGGCACGCGCCAUCCUCUAGCCAGAUGUGACACUUUCUCAUGCCACUGCUCUCCUAGGUCAUGCAGGUAUGCCUCUCACUCACUCCAACCAAACCUCGCCCUCCUGGCCUGCAGAGGUACAUCUCCUUGAGACCUCCUCAGACCACCUUGGCCCACCUUGACUUUCUCAGAUUCUAAGUGGCUCAGUGAAAUUAAGGAGAAGAUGGAUUUAUUUAAAAAUAGAGUUAAGAGGAGAUGAUAACAAGAGAAGAAAUGAAAAGGAAGCUGGCAGAACCAAGAAAAGAUGUUAAGGAGAAAAAUAAAACCAUUGCGCAACUGAAGACCGCAUGUAGGCACUGCUUGAGAAAAACACACUAUGUAGAGGGAAAGGACAUGAAAUGAAAGUGAUUAGAGAGAAGAGGAGAGAUGUAGGGGACAGACAACUUCAGCAAGCUCACAUCAGGAUGUUAUCCAUUCAGUCAUGCAUCCAUUUGGUAUUCAUUCAGCAACUGCUAAAUGUUAGGUCCUAUGUCAGGAAUCAAGGAUGCAAAGUACCCCCAAGAAGCUCAGAAGGAGUAGAAGGAUGUUACCAGAUGCUGGGAAGGGUACUGGGGUAGGGGGCGGUGAGGUGGGGAUGGUUAAUGGGUACAAAAAACAGGAAGAAUGAGUAAGAUCAACUAUUUGAUAGCACAACAGGGUGACUACAGCCAAUAAUAACUUAAAUGUGCCUUUAAAAAUAACUAAGAGUAUAAUUGGAUUGUUUGUAACGCAAUUAUAAAAGCUUGAGGGGAUGGAUUCCCCAUUCUCCAUGACGUGAUUAUUAAACAUUGCAUGCCUGUAUCAAGAUAUCUCAUGUACCCCAUAAAUAUGUGUACCUAAUAGGCACCCACAAAAAUUAAAAAUUAAAAAAUUUUAAAAGGGAAGCUGAGAAGAAGUAGAGAAAGCAACCACUAACAAGCAGAGCACAGCCUGUUCAAUCUCUAAUAGAGGUGUGCUCCGCAAAACCCCAGGGAAUAGAGAAGACAGAGUACAAAUCUGUCUAGGGUAGGGACUGUACUUGUUUGCUGUGGCCGUUGUACCAAAUUACCACAAAACAUGGUGGCUUAACAUAACACAAUUUAUUCUCUCACAGUUCUGGAGGCUAGAAGUCCAAAUUCAACUUUAUUGGGCUGAAAUCAAAGAGUCAGGAGGAUACCUGUGAUGGCAUUUAGGCCCACCUGGGUGAGCCAGGACACUCUCUCCAUCUCAAGAUCCUUACUUGAAUCACAUCUGCAAAGCCCUCUUUCUGCCAGGCAAGAAGCAGGAUUGCAGGCCACCUUUUGCAGGCCCAGCCCAGGUUUGGAACAAGGCUUCCUCUGCAAAAGCUGGAUGCUGUGAGCUCUGUCAGCUGCAAUGCUCUACCCCACACCUGCCUGGGUUUCCGGAGUGCAUACUCUAUUUGGGAGCAAUGCCUGCCUUGAACUCCAACAGUAUUUUGUCAGCAUCUUUCCCCAAAGACUAAACUCUACAGCCUAUAUCAAGUAUCAGCCACUGGAGAAAGCCGAGAAAUGGAGAAAUUGAGAAACUUGGCAACACAUCCAGUAAAGAGCUGAAGCUUUUAUAACAGCACAAUACAGGAACAAAAAGGAUAGCUUUGGGGAAUGCCAGCCUUUCCAAGGUAAGUUAUCAAAUGUCAGUGUGAACAAUCAUCAACACUGGAAAAAGAAAUUGUUUAAUUCUCAUAAGCUAACAAAAUGAAUAUGACAUACCAUUUCCCAUGCUACCUAGGUGAAGCAUGCAAGUUGAAUAGUCAUAGCAAUGCUAGUAUUAUUUUUUAUUUUAUACAUAUAUAUUUUUUAAUUAUUAUACUUUAAGUUUUAGGGUACAUGUGCACAUUGUGCAGGUUAGUUACAUAUGUAUACAUGUGCCAUGCUGGUGCACUGCACCCACUAACUCGUCAUCUAGCAUUAGGUAUAUCUCCCAAUGCUAUCCUUCUCCCCUCCCCCCACCCCACAACAGUCCCCAGAGUGUGAUAUUCCCUUUCCUGUGUCCAUGUGAUCUCAUUGUUCAAUUCCCACCUAUGAGUGAGAAUAUGUGGUGUUUGGUUUUUUGUUCUUGCGAUAGUUUACUGAGAAUGAUGAUUUCCAAUUUCAUCCAUGUCCCUACAAAGGACAUGAACUCAUCAUUUUUUAUGGCUGCAUAGUAUUCCAUGGUGUAUAUAUGCCACAUUUUCUUAAUCCAGUCUAUCAUUGUUGGACAUUUGGGUUGGUUCCAAGUCUUUGCUAUCGUGAAUAAUGCUGCAAUAAACAUACGUGUGCAUGUGUCUUUAUAGCAGCAUGAUUUAUAGUCCUUUGGGUAUAUACCCAGUAAUGGGAUGGCUGGGUCAAAUGGUAUUUCCAGUUCUAGAUCCCUGAGGAAUCGCCACACUGACUUCCACAAUGGUUGAACUAGUUUACAGUCCCACCAACAGUGUAAAAGUGUUCCUAUUUCUCCACAUCCUCUCCAGCACCUGUUGUUUCCUGACUUUUUAAUGAUUGCCAUUCUAACUGGUGUGAGAUGGUAUCUCAUUGUGGUAUUACAUAGACAACUGUGAAGAUAAUUAUUUUGAUGAGUAAAUUACUACAAUAAAUUGUCAUACGGGAAAUAUCCAGAUCAAGAAUAGAAAUUGGGUCCCCACACAAACCCUCCCUUUCCCUCCUCCCAUCACAACCCUCUCUCUUCCCCAGAGGAAUCGCUGGCCUGACUUUGUGGCAAUCACUUUCUUGCUUUUCCUUAUAGCUUUAUCACCCAAGUGUGUGCUCCCAAAUACUAUAGUAAAUGGUGUCUUUUUCUGCUGUGUCUUUUAGGUCUAUUUUAAUCUAUAGGUCAUCCAACUAUCCAUUUUUUCCACUUUUUUCCUCAUAAAAAUGAUUUUUUAAGAAACCCUAAAUACUAUAGUAAAUGGUGUCUUUUUCUGCUGUGUCUUUUAGGUCUAUUUUAAUCUAUAGGUCAUCCAACUAUCCAUUUUUCCCCUUUUUUUCCUCAUAUAAAUGAUUUUUUAAGAAACCAGGCCAUGUAUGCUGUAAUCUGGCAGUUUCCCAUAGCCUGGAUUCAGCUGAUUGCAUCAAUGCGAAUAUUAUAACUAUGUAGCAUGACUCAAGCCAUAAGGAGGGUAUCAGGUAGAUUUAAAUGGAAAUAUCUAGUCUGCCACAUAUACAAGUAUAUUAAAACUCAGUUCCUCUAACAAGGGCCCCGGGGACUUAUUUAUUGAUUUACAAAAGUUUUGAACAGUUGCUUUGAGGUAAUCUCUUAAUCUCUUUCUUCCUCCCUCUUCCUUCUUCUUGCUUUUUUUUUUUUCUUUUUAAGGGACAGCAUCGUUCUAUGUUGCCCAGGCUGGUCUUGAACUC